UCCCAGAGUUCAACUACUCUGCUCUCCCACAUAAAGAGUUAUCAGAGAUCUUCUAACACCCUUUGAUGGUACAGAUGACCCUUGAUGAGGGCAAGCACUUUUGCGUGAUGAGAAGAGAUAGCCUGAGGAACUCCAGUAUGAGCUCCGGACUAAAAUAAAGUUUCAGAAGUUCAUUUCAGAUACAAUAAAAGCUUUGCAUGAAUGCCCUGCAGAAGAAUAUCUGAAUAACAUGGACGUCCUAUUCAAGCCCUAAUCAACUUAAAUUCUGUAAUUACUUCUGCACUCAGCCUACACCACAGCAGGGCACACAUGUUAGGAGUGAACAGAUGACAGAAGCAGAGAACAGAAAAGUAGUUUUGCUCUCACCUUGAAUUUCUGAGGCUGAAGUUAAGAACUGAUGUGAGCUCUACCUGUGUCUAUGGUAAGAAGAAUCUGAAGCAUGUGUGCCAUGGUGAUCAAAUGGAAGAGAUACAGGUGGUUAUACGAGGAACUGAUUGAUGAAGGCUGCAGAUCAACAGUGUCGUCCCAAUACAAGGAUGGGAAUGCUAACACAGCACCAACCUGUAAGAGGAAACAGACAUCAACAGGAGUGACAACAAAGACCAGUUUGAGCUAAUCUCA
Long non-coding RNA from Suricata suricatta (meerkat), 621 nucleotides. RefSeq lists it as uncharacterized. The transcript is spliced from 5 exons. The record is from RefSeq and is a predicted model, not a curated record. Lineage: Eukaryota; Metazoa; Chordata; Mammalia; Carnivora; Herpestidae.